Nanorana parkeri is the source of this 136-nucleotide long non-coding RNA. RefSeq lists it as uncharacterized. The transcript has 2 exons. Lineage: Eukaryota; Metazoa; Chordata; Amphibia; Anura; Dicroglossidae. The record is from RefSeq and is a predicted model, not a curated record.
GGAGACAUUGCUGGAAGUGGCAGCAGAGGAGGGUGAAGAUCUGAUAGAUAUAAAAGUUGAGGUGAAAGCAGAAGAAGAGACGUAUCUGAGGGGCGAUCAGUCCGUGAAAGAGGGUGACAUGAUGGUGCCGGUUAAA